Molecule: transfer RNA, 68 nt
Filed under: Marmota monax (woodchuck)
Lineage: Eukaryota; Metazoa; Chordata; Mammalia; Rodentia; Sciuridae
Description: tRNA.Ala
Source: RNAcentral
GGUCUGUGGCUCAGUGGUAGAGUGCUUGACUAGCACAUGUGAGGCCCUGGGUUCUAUCCCCAGCACCA